RNAcentral lists this ribosomal RNA (500 nucleotides) under uncultured bacterium. Its description in RNAcentral is "partial 16S ribosomal RNA". It matches the Rfam family "Bacterial small subunit ribosomal RNA", at positions 30 to 523 of the family's 1533-position model. The record is from RNAcentral.
AUUGAACGCUGGCGGAAUGCUUUACACAUGCAAGUCGAACGGCAGCACGGACUUCGGUCUGGUGGCGAGUGGCGAGCGGGUGAGUAAUGUAUCGGAACGUGCCCAGUCGUGGGGGAUAACGUAGUGAAAAUUACGCUAAUACCGCAUACGAUCUAUGGAUGAAAGCGGGGGAUCGCAAGACCUCGCGCGAUUGGAGCGGCCGAUAUCAGAUUAGGUAGUUGGUGGGGUAAAGGCCCACCAAGCCAACGAUCUGUAGCUGGUCUGAGAGGACGACCAGCAACACUGGAACGGGGACACGGUCCAGACUCCUACGGGAGGCAGCAGUGGGGAAUUUUGGACAAUGGGCGAAAGCCUGAUCCAGCCAUUCCGCGUGCAGGAUGAAGGCCCUCGGGUUGUAAACUGCUUUUGUACAGAACGAAAAGGUUUCUACUAAUACUAGGAGCUCAUGACGGUACUGUAAGAAUAAGCACCGGCUAACUACGUGCCAGCAGCCGCAGUAA